AUCGAUGAAGAACGCAGCGAAAUGCGAUAAGUAAUGUGAAUUGCAGAAUUCAGUGAAUCAUCGAAUCUUUGAACGCACAUUGCGCCCUCUGGUAUUCCGGAGGGCAUGCCUGUUCGAGCGUCAUUACAACCCUCAAGCUCUGCUUGGCCUUGGGCGUCACCGGUAACGGUGGGCCCCAAACCCAGUGGCGGUGCCGUCUGGCUCUAAGCGUAGUAAUUCUUCUCGCUAUAGAUGCCCGGUGGAUGCUUGCCAGUAACCCCCAAUUUUUUCAGGUUGACCUCGGAUCAGGUAGGGAUACCCGCUGAACUUAAGCAUAUCAAUAAGCGGAGGAAAAGAAACCAACAGGGAUUACCUCAGUAACGGCGAGUGAAGCGGUAACAGCUCAAAUUUGAAAUCUGGGUCUUUCAGGCUCCGAGUUGUAAUUUGUAGAAGAUGCUUCGGGUGCGGCUCCGGUCUAAGUUCCUUGGAACAGGACGUCAUAGAGGGUGAGAAUCCCGUAUGUGAUCGGUUGCCUGCGCCCGUGUGAAGCUCUUUCGACGAGUCGAGUUGUUUGGGAAUGCAGCUCAAAAUGGGUGGUAAAUUUCAUCUAAAGCUAAAUAUUGGCCAGAGACCGAUAGCGCACAAGUAGAGUGAUCGAAAGAUGAAAAGCACUUUGGAAAGAGAGUUAAACAGUACGUGAAAUUGUUGAAAGGGAAGCGCUUGCAACCAGACUUGCGCGUUGCCGAUCAUCCGGGGUUCUCCCCGGUGCACUCGGCUUCGCUCAGGCCAGCAUCGGUUUUGGUGGUGGGAUAAAGGCCUUGGGAAUGUAGCUCCUCUCGGGGAGUGUUAUAGCCCUCGGUGCAAUGCCGCCUACCGGGACCGAGGACCGCGCUUCGGCUAGGAUGCUGGCGUAAUGGUUGUAAGCGACCCGUCUUGAAACACGGAA
Molecule: ribosomal RNA, 925 nt
Filed under: uncultured fungus
Lineage: Eukaryota; Fungi
Description: eukaryotic LSU rRNA
Rfam family: Eukaryotic large subunit ribosomal RNA (bases 275-925)
Source: RNAcentral